RNAcentral lists this transfer RNA (71 nucleotides) under Bos taurus (domestic cattle). It matches the Rfam family "tRNA". Rfam says of the family: Transfer RNA (tRNA) molecules are approximately 80 nucleotides in length. Their secondary structure includes four short double-helical elements and three loops (D, anti-codon, and T loops). RNAcentral also lists the same sequence under 4 other names. The record is from Rfam by way of RNAcentral. Lineage: Eukaryota; Metazoa; Chordata; Mammalia; Artiodactyla; Bovidae.
UCCCUGGUGGCUCAGACGGUAAAGCGUCUGCCUACAAUGCGGGAGUUCAGGGUUCAAUCCCUACCAGGGGA